CCUACGGGUGGCAGCAGUGAGGAAUAUUGGUCAAUGGACGAGAGUCUGAACCAGCCAAGUAGCGUGAAGGAUGACUGCCCUAUGGGUUGUAAACUUCUUUUAUAAAGGAAUAAAACGAGGCACGUGUGCCUUUUUGCAUGUACUUUAUGAAUAAGGAUCGGCUAACUCCGUGCCAGCAGCCGCGGUAAUACGGAGGAUCCGAGCGUUAUCCGGAUUUAUUGGGUUUAAAGGGAGCGUAGAUGGGUUGUUAAGUCAGUUGUGAAAGUUUGCGGCUCAACCGUAAAAUUGCAAUUGAUACUGGCAGUCGUGAGUACAGUUGAGGUAAGCGGAAUUCGUGGUGUAGCGGUGAAAUGCUUAGAUAUCACGAAGAACCCCGAUUGCGAAGGCAGCUUACUAAACUGCGACUGACAUUGAUGCUCGAAAGUGUGGGUAUCAAACAGGAUUAGAUACCCCAGUAGUC
This 460-nucleotide ribosomal RNA is filed under the name uncultured bacterium. RNAcentral's name for it is "partial 16S ribosomal RNA". It matches the Rfam family "Bacterial small subunit ribosomal RNA", at positions 338 to 795 of the family's 1533-position model. The record is from RNAcentral.